GCAAGCUUGAGUCUCGUAGAGGGGGGUAGAAUUCCAGGUGUAGCGGUGAAAUGCGUAGAGAUCUGGAGGAAUACCGGUGGCGAAGGCGGCCCCCUGGACGAAGACUGACGCUCAGGUGCGAAAGCGUGGGGAGCAAACAGGAUUAGAUACCCUGGUAGUCCACGCCGUAAACGAUGUCGACUUGGAGGUUGUGCCCUUGAGGCGUGGCUUCCGGAGCUAACGCGUUAAGUCGACCGCCUGGGGAGUACGGCCGCAAGGUUAAAACUCAAAUGAAUUGACGGGGGCCCGCACAAGCGGUGGAGCAUGUGGUUUAAUUCGAUGCAACGCGAAGAACCUUACCUGGUCUUGACAUCCACGGAAGUUUUCAGAGAUGAGAAUGUGCCUUCGGGAACCGUGAGACAGGUGCUGCAUGGCUGUCGUCAGCUCGUGUUGUGAAAUGUUGGGUUAAGUCCCGCAACGAGCGCAACCCUUAUCCUUUGUUGCCAGCGGUCCGGCCGGGAACUCAAAGGAGACUGCCAGUGA
This 522-nucleotide ribosomal RNA is filed under the name Escherichia coli. RNAcentral's name for it is "partial 16S ribosomal RNA". It matches the Rfam family "Bacterial small subunit ribosomal RNA", at positions 636 to 1158 of the family's 1533-position model. RNAcentral also lists the same sequence under 2 other names. Lineage: Bacteria; Pseudomonadati; Pseudomonadota; Gammaproteobacteria; Enterobacterales; Enterobacteriaceae. The record is from RNAcentral.